UUGUCCUACGGGAGGCAGCAGUGAGGAAUAUUGGUCAAUGGUCGGGAGACUGAACCAGCCAAGCCGCGUGAGGGAGGAAGGUACAGAGUAUCGUAAACCUCUUUUGUCAGGGGACAAAGACUGGGACGCGUCCCCGGAUGAGUGUACCUGAAGAAAAAGCAUCGGCUAACUCCGUGCCAGCAGCCGCGGUAAUACGGAGGAUGCGAGCGUUAUCCGGAUUUAUUGGGUUUAAAGGGUGCGCAGGCGGUCUGUUAAGUCAGCGGUCAAAGCCCGGGGCUCAACCCCGGCCCGCCGUUGAAACUGGC
RNAcentral lists this ribosomal RNA (305 nucleotides) under uncultured bacterium. RNAcentral describes it as "bacterial SSU rRNA". It matches the Rfam family "Bacterial small subunit ribosomal RNA", at positions 334 to 637 of the family's 1533-position model. The record is from RNAcentral.